RNAcentral lists this ribosomal RNA (2922 nucleotides) under Klebsiella pneumoniae. RNAcentral describes it as "23S ribosomal RNA". It matches the Rfam family "Bacterial large subunit ribosomal RNA". The record is from RNAcentral. Lineage: Bacteria; Pseudomonadati; Pseudomonadota; Gammaproteobacteria; Enterobacterales; Enterobacteriaceae.
GGGUUGUGAGGUUAAGCGACUAAGCGUACACGGUGGAUGCCCUGGCAGUCAGAGGCGAUGAAGGACGUGCUAAUCUGCGAAAAGCGUCGGUAAGGUGAUAUGAACCGUUACAGCCGGCGAUGUCCGAAUGGGGAAACCCAGUGCAAUUCGUUGCACUAUCGUUAACUGAAUACAUAGGUUAACGAGGCGAACCGGGGGAACUGAAACAUCUAAGUACCCCGAGGAAAAGAAAUCAACCGAGAUUCCCCCAGUAGCGGCGAGCGAACGGGGAGCAGCCCAGAGUCUGAAUCAGCUUGUGUGUUAGUGGAACGGUCUGGAAAGUCCGACGGUACAGGGUGAUAGUCCCGUACACCAAAAUGCACAGGCUGUGAACUCGAAGAGUAGGGCGGGACACGUGGUAUCCUGUCUGAAUAUGGGGGGACCAUCCUCCAAGGCUAAAUACUCCUGACUGACCGAUAGUGAACCAGUACCGUGAGGGAAAGGCGAAAAGAACCCCGGCGAGGGGAGUGAAAAAGAACCUGAAACCGUGUACGUACAAGCAGUGGGAGCACCUUCGGGUGUGACUGCGUACCUUUUGUAUAAUGGGUCAGCGACUUAUAUUCUGUAGCAAGGUUAACCGUAUAGGGGAGCCGCAGGGAAACCGAGUCUUAACUGGGCGUUAAGUUGCAGGGUAUAGACCCGAAACCCGGUGAUCUAGCCAUGGGCAGGUUGAAGGUUGGGUAACACUAACUGGAGGACCGAACCGACUAAUGUUGAAAAAUUAGCGGAUGACUUGUGGCUGGGGGUGAAAGGCCAAUCAAACCGGGAGAUAGCUGGUUCUCCCCGAAAGCUAUUUAGGUAGCGCCUCGUGAAUUCAUCUUCGGGGGUAGAGCACUGUUUCGGCUAGGGGGUCAUCCCGACUUACCAACCCGAUGCAAACUACGAAUACCGAAGAAUGUUAUCACGGGAGACACACGGCGGGUGCUAACGUCCGUCGUGAAGAGGGAAACAACCCAGACCGCCAGCUAAGGUCCCAAAGUCAUGGUUAAGUGGGAAACGAUGUGGGAAGGCACAGACAGCCAGGAUGUUGGCUUAGAAGCAGCCAUCAUUUAAAGAAAGCGUAAUAGCUCACUGGUCGAGUCGGCCUGCGCGGAAGAUGUAACGGGGCUAAACCAUGCACCGAAGCUGCGGCAGCGACACUAUGUGUUGUUGGGUAGGGGAGCGUUCUGUAAGCCUGCGAAGGUGUGCUGUGAGGUUGCUGGAGGUAUCAGAAGUGCGAAUGCUGACAUAAGUAACGAUAAAGCGGGUGAAAAGCCCGCUCGCCGGAAGACCAAGGGUUCCUGUCCAACGUUAAUCGGGGCAGGGUGAGUCGACCCCUAAGGCGAGGCCGAAAGGCGUAGUCGAUGGGAAACAGGUUAAUAUUCCUGUACUUGGUGUUACUGCGAAGGGGGGACGGAGAAGGCUAUGUUAGCCGGGCGACGGUUGUCCCGGUUUAAGCAUGUAGGCUGGUUGUCCAGGCAAAUCCGGAUAAUCAAGGCUGAGGUGUGAUGACGAGGCACUACGGUGCUGAAGUAACAAAUGCCCUGCUUCCAGGAAAAGCCUCUAAGCAUCAGGUAACAUUAAAUCGUACCCCAAACCGACACAGGUGGUCAGGUAGAGAAUACCAAGGCGCUUGAGAGAACUCGGGUGAAGGAACUAGGCAAAAUGGUGCCGUAACUUCGGGAGAAGGCACGCUGGUGUGUAGGUGAAGUCCCUGCGGAUGGAGCUGAGACCAGUCGAAGAUACCAGCUGGCUGCAACUGUUUAUUAAAAACACAGCACUGUGCAAACACGAAAGUGGACGUAUACGGUGUGACGCCUGCCCGGUGCCGGAAGGUUAAUUGAUGGGGUUAUCCGUAAGGAGAAGCUCUUGAUCGAAGCCCCGGUAAACGGCGGCCGUAACUAUAACGGUCCUAAGGUAGCGAAAUUCCUUGUCGGGUAAGUUCCGACCUGCACGAAUGGCGUAAUGAUGGCCAGGCUGUCUCCACCCGAGACUCAGUGAAAUUGAACUCGCUGUGAAGAUGCAGUGUACCCGCGGCAAGACGGAAAGACCCCGUGAACCUUUACUAUAGCUUGACACUGAACAUUGAGCCUUGAUGUGUAGGAUAGGUGGGAGGCUUUGAAGCGUGGACGCCAGUCUGCGUGGAGCCAACCUUGAAAUACCACCCUUUAAUGUUUGAUGUUCUAACGUUGGCCCCUUACCGGGGUUGCGGACAGUGUCUGGUGGGUAGUUUGACUGGGGCGGUCUCCUCCCAAAGCGUAACGGAGGAGCACGAAGGUUAGCUAAUCCUGGUCGGACAUCAGGAGGUUAGUGCAAUGGCAUAAGCUAGCUUGACUGCGAGCGUGACGGCGCGAGCAGGUGCGAAAGCAGGUCAUAGUGAUCCGGUGGUUCUGAAUGGAAGGGCCAUCGCUCAACGGAUAAAAGGUACUCCGGGGAUAACAGGCUGAUACCGCCCAAGAGUUCAUAUCGACGGCGGUGUUUGGCACCUCGAUGUCGGCUCAUCACAUCCUGGGGCUGAAGUAGGUCCCAAGGGUAUGGCUGUUCGCCAUUUAAAGUGGUACGCGAGCUGGGUUUAGAACGUCGUGAGACAGUUCGGUCCCUAUCUGCCGUGGGCGCUGGAGAAUUGAGGGGGGCUGCUCCUAGUACGAGAGGACCGGAGUGGACGCAUCACUGGUGUUCGGGUUGUCAUGCCAAUGGCACUGCCCGGUAGCUAAAUGCGGAAGAGAUAAGUGCUGAAAGCAUCUAAGCACGAAACUUGCCCCGAGAUGAGUUCUCCCUGAGACUUUAAGUCUCCUGAAGGAACGUUGAAGACGACGACGUUGAUAGGCCGGGUGUGUAAGCGCAGCGAUGCGUUGAGCUAACCGGUACUAAUGAACCGUGAGGCUUAACCUUACAACGCCGAAG